Long non-coding RNA from Oncorhynchus keta (chum salmon), 480 nucleotides. RefSeq lists it as uncharacterized. The record is from RefSeq and is a predicted model, not a curated record. NCBI's taxonomy places the organism in Eukaryota, Metazoa, Chordata, Actinopteri, Salmoniformes, Salmonidae. The transcript is spliced from 4 exons.
CAGGAGAGAUACAACAGACUGUCCUGACCUGGUAGGUAUUAACAGGAGAGAUACAACAGACUGUCCUGACCUGGUAGGUAUUAACAGGAGAGAUACAACAGACUGUCCUGACCUGGUAGGUAUUAACAGGAGAGAUACAACAGACUGUCCUGACCUGGUAGGUAUUAACAGGAGAGAUACAACAGACUGUCCUGACCUGGUAGGUAUUAACAGGAGAGAUACAACAGACUGUCCUGACCUGGUAGGUAUUAACAGGAGAGAUACAACAGACUGUCCUGACCUGGUAGGUAUUAACAGGAGAGAUACAACAGACUGUCCUGACCUGGUAGGUAUUAACAGGAGAGAUACAACAGACUGUCCUGACCUGGUAGGUAUUAACAGGAGAGAUACAACAGACUGUCCUGACCUGGUAGGUAUUAACAGGAGAGAUACAACAGACUGUCCUGACCUGGUAGGUAUUAACAGGAGAGAUACAACAGA